UCCCUGGUGGCUCAGAGGUUAAAGCGUCUGCCUGCAAUGCAGGAGACCCGGGUUUGAUCCCUGGGUCGGGAA
RNAcentral lists this transfer RNA (72 nucleotides) under Muntiacus reevesi (Reeves' muntjac). It matches the Rfam family "tRNA". Rfam says of the family: Transfer RNA (tRNA) molecules are approximately 80 nucleotides in length. Their secondary structure includes four short double-helical elements and three loops (D, anti-codon, and T loops). Further hydrogen bonds mediate the characteristic L-shaped molecular structure. tRNAs have two regions of fundamental functional importance: the anti-codon, which is responsible for specific mRNA codon recognition, and the 3' end, to which the tRNAs corresponding amino acid is attached (by aminoacyl-tRNA synthetases). tRNAs cope with the degeneracy of the genetic code in two manners: having more than one tRNA (with a specific anti-codon) for a particular amino acid; and 'wobble' base-pairing, i.e. permitting non-standard base-pairing at the 3rd anti-codon position. RNAcentral also lists the same sequence under 8 other names. Lineage: Eukaryota; Metazoa; Chordata; Mammalia; Artiodactyla; Cervidae. The record is from Rfam by way of RNAcentral.